RNAcentral lists this ribosomal RNA (490 nucleotides) under uncultured bacterium. RNAcentral's name for it is "bacterial SSU rRNA". It matches the Rfam family "Bacterial small subunit ribosomal RNA", at positions 19 to 507 of the family's 1533-position model. The record is from RNAcentral.
AUGGCUCAGAUUGAACGCUAGCGGGAUGCCUUACACAUGCAAGUCGAACGGCAGCGCGGACUUCGGUCUGGCGGCGAGUGGCGAACGGGUGAGUAAUGUAUCGGAACGUGCCCAGUAGCGGGGACAACCACUCGAAAGAGUGGCUAAUACCGCAUACGCCCUACGGGGAAAGGGGGGGAUCGCAAGACCUCUCACUAUUGGAGCGGCCGAUAUCGGAUUAGCUAGUUGGUGGGGUAAAGGCCUACCAAGGCGACGAUCCGUAGCUGGUUUGAGAGGACGACCAGCCACACUGGGACUGAGACACGGCCCAGACUCCUACGGGAGGCAGCAGUGGGGAAUUUUGGACAAUGGGGAAACCCUGAUCCAGCCAUUCCGCGUGUGCGAUGAAGGCCUUCGGGUUGUAAAGCACUUUUGGCAGGAAAGAAAUCGUGUGGGUUAAUACCCUGCGCGGAUGACGGUACCUGCAGAAUAAGCACCGGCUAACUACGUG